UGCCCCGUGGCUGAGUUGGUUACAGCGUCCGACUGUUACUUCCAAGACAUCGGAAGGUCGUGAGUUCGAGCCUCACCGGGGCAG
Molecule: transfer RNA, 84 nt
Filed under: Trametes cingulata
Lineage: Eukaryota; Fungi; Basidiomycota; Agaricomycetes; Polyporales; Polyporaceae
Description: tRNA-Asn
Rfam family: tRNA
About the family: Transfer RNA (tRNA) molecules are approximately 80 nucleotides in length.
Source: RNAcentral